Musca domestica (house fly) is the source of this 312-nucleotide RNA transcript. RefSeq lists it as uncharacterized. The record is from RefSeq and is a predicted model, not a curated record. The transcript has 3 exons. NCBI's taxonomy places the organism in Eukaryota, Metazoa, Arthropoda, Insecta, Diptera, Muscidae.
UUAACUUAAUGAACUACAUGAUUGAAGGAGUUGGAUAUAGUUCCGAUCGUUCCUUUCGCAAAGCAGUUACUUUGAACUGCUUCUUUCCCGAACGACACAACUCUUGUUAAAUUGUUUUGGUUAUGGAUUCGGAGGCACAUUCACGCUGAUCAAAUCCAGUGCCUGUGCAGCCUCCAGCAAAAAAUCGAGGAAGAGUAAAUCUCGCAAAAGGACAAGGGACGCAAUUGAACCACUCGAUGAUAAAGGAAUUGUCCGGAAGCAAAAAGAACUGAUGAGAGUUUUACACGUUAAAAACUUUCAGCUGCAAAACGG